This 172-nucleotide ribosomal RNA is filed under the name Holdemanella porci. RNAcentral's name for it is "partial 23S ribosomal RNA". It matches the Rfam family "Bacterial large subunit ribosomal RNA", at positions 2751 to 2925 of the family's 2925-position model. Lineage: Bacteria; Bacillati; Bacillota; Erysipelotrichia; Erysipelotrichales; Erysipelotrichaceae. The record is from RNAcentral.
AAGUAGGGAAAGGAUAAGCGCUGAAAGCAUCUAAGCACGAAGCCUACUCCAAGAUGAGAUCUCCCAUUCGCAAGAAGUAAGACCCCUUAAAGACGAUAAGGUAGAUAGGCCAGGGAUGGAAGUGCAGUGAUGUACGGAGUUGACUGGUACUAAUCGGUCGAGGACUUAAUCA